Molecule: long non-coding RNA, 1163 nt
Filed under: Gossypium raimondii (Peruvian cotton)
Lineage: Eukaryota; Viridiplantae; Streptophyta; Magnoliopsida; Malvales; Malvaceae
Description: long non-coding RNA (GRAI_LNC005299)
Source: RNAcentral
UGCCAACCCCAAUCUCAAAUAAUAAAUAUAUCUAAUCGAGCUCAAUAUCAGAUGUCAACUUCUAUUCCGACAUUUAGCUUCAAUUACACUUACAAAUACCUGUCAAAUUAAGGAUCGUCUUAUGGAAUUGAGUACAUCGUUUGCCCGGCGCCACAAUUUGCUUGAAUAUUUCACAUUGCUAUAACUUAGUAUGGUUUUCUUCACGGAAAUACCAUACCUACUUUUCACAACUCAGUAUGGUUUUCUUCACUGAAACACCAUACCUACUUUUCAUAACUCAGUAUGGUUUUCUUCACUGAAACACCAUACCUACUUUUCACACUUUGCAUGGAUCCACCAUGGACUUAUCCGUCAAUUCGUCAUUGGUUGCCAAACAUGUGUACUCAAUCCUGCAUAUCCCUUAAUUUGAACUAACAAUUUCAUCUUCUUUUCAUUUUUACCAUAAUCAUAAUUCAGUAACAAUAUACGAAUUUAUACAAUAUAUCAUUUCCACAUUAACAAUUAAUCAUAAAAAUUCAGCCAUAGGAACUUACCUGGGCCGAUUUGCAAAAUUUGUAAAAGUUCAGGGACUAAUUAACUACUUUUUCUUUUCCUCGGCUUGCUUCGGGUUCUCGAUCUAAAAUACAAAUUUAUUCAUUCAUCAGCAUAUAAUUCAAUUCUAAUUCAUUUCACAGUUUCUGCCCUUAGAUUCUCAAAAUUACACUUUUACCCCAAACUUUACAGUUUUUACAAUUUGGUCCCUACAAAAUUAACCCCUCAAUUGAUCUAAUUUUUUUUCUCAAUCAAAACCUUUUCCAACUAUUUUAGACUACUAAAUAUCCUUUCAUAUUCAAAACCGCAACACCAAACCCUAAUUCCCAACUUUUUCACAAUUAGGUCCCUAAAAUCAAUUUCUAUCAAAAUUACUUUAAUAGAAUCAUCAUAUAACAAAAUCAAAGCUUUAAUUCCAUGUUUAUUCAUCAUAAAAAUUCAGUACCCAUCAAUGGUAACUUUCCAAAAUCAGCCAUAAGAUCAAUAACUAAUGAAACAAUUAGUUGGACCUAAUUGUAAAAGUAUCAAAACCACAAAAAUUAGAAGAAAUAAUCAAGAAUUAAACUUACAUGAUUCAAAUAUAUGAAAAACCAGUUUGGAGGGACUCUUCAAUGGCGUUCUUUGGCUGAUAA